GUUUGUUUAGGAGGAUGCUUGAUAAGGUGUUUAGGAGGAUGUUUAGGGGGGAUGGAUGUUCGUGAAGAUGUUUAGGAGGGUGUUUGUUUAGGAGGACGCUUAGGAAGGUGUGUAGGAGGAUGUUUAGGGGGGAUGGAUGUUGGUGAAGAUGUUUAGGAGGAUAUUUGUUUAGGAGGAUGCUUAGGAAAGUGUGUAGGAGGAUGUUUGGGGGGAUGGAUGUUCGUGAAGGUGUUAGGAGGGUGUUUGUUUAGGGGGAUGCUUGGGGAAGGUGUUCAGGAGGGUGUCUGGGUACCAGCAGUGCCAGUCCAGAAGUUCAGCAUGUGUUAGGUCAAACCAGGGCAGUGCCCAUUCAAUGUGGCAGACGUUUCUAGCAAAGGGGAAAUGUGCUUUUCCAUCAUGUUCCUACAACUGAUAACACAAUUAAACCUACACUUCUUACCAGGAUAUGGGGUUUUUUUAAAGAUUGGGUUUGUGGGUUUUUUAUUUGCUAACUUAAGUAAGGCCUGAGCUAAGAUAAAGGAACAUAAUCAACUAAAAGUGAAAUCCUGGUGAACACAGUCACUGCUGCAAAAUAUUUAAUUUAAAAUGUACCAGCUUAGAAUCCACAGAUACUUCUAUUCUUGGCCUUUUUAAGCCCUGUGAAAAUAACAGAUUGCCUUAUCUGAAGAUUUUAGUAGGAGUUCAGAGUCAGUGCACAGAAGCACAGAAUCAUUUAGGCUGGAAAAGCCCUCUGAGACCAUUGAAUGGGCACUGCCCUGGUUUGAGCUAACAUAUGUUGAGGUUCUGGACUGGCACUGCUGGUGCUGUGUGUCCUGUUCAGUGUUUGUAAACUGGUAAAAGACACUUCACUACUGUUUCAACACUAAAAAAUUGAAGCUAAUGACUAUAAUCCUUUCUUUUUCCUCCUUUUUCUUAAAAGUGCCCAACAUCCCUGCACAAUGUGGGUAGGACAGUGGGUUUUAUUGAGUUGUGGAUGAAGUUUCUUGAGUCUUCAGUGACAAGGGUUUUGAGGAUGGUUUCUGUGUGUCCUGCACUACUGUGCUUUCUUUUCAGUUCAUCUGGAUAAAAUUUGCAAUAUAACACUUAUUUUAAUUUAGUAGCCCAGCUUUUGAGGGUGAUAUAUCACUCUUACAUCUGUUUCAGUUUUUAAGUCUUGAUAUAAAGAUAUAUUGAGUUUCCAUAAAUUCUUGUAUAAGACUUCAAGAUGUGCUUUGUAAAGUAAAGAAAUGUACUGAGCAUUUAUAACUGUGCAGACUUAGAACUUUGUGAAGUAAUAUUUUAAGGGCAUUUUUAAUUUUGCCAUAUCAAGCCCUUCCCUUCAACUCCUAACAGCUUGCUUUGCAGGCUCUGGCUUUGCUUUGGAAGAAACAUGGAGGGAGGAGAUGAAACCCACAGCAGCAAGCUAGGACACACCAAAAUACAUGAUGAGUCUGUAUUUGCCUUUUUUUUUAAAUAGGUGAAAUAGACCUUAAAGCUCAUCUUGUUCCCCCUGCCCUGGGCAGAGGUACCUUACGCUAUCCCAGGUUGUUCCAAGUGCCAUCCAACCUGAACAUUUCCAGGGAUGGGGCAGCCACAGCUGCUCUGCUUCUUUCACAGAAGAGACGAUAACUGACAAUUGCUGAGGUCACUGAAACAUGGAAAUAAGUUUUAUUUCUGGUAUUUACCAUUACUUGUCUUCAAGGUUCUUGCCAAGUGUGUUUGAUAUUCUCUAUUUUACUUCC
Molecule: long non-coding RNA, 1721 nt
Organism: Myiozetetes cayanensis
Lineage: Eukaryota; Metazoa; Chordata; Aves; Passeriformes; Tyrannidae
Exons: 3
Source: RefSeq, a predicted model, not a curated record